GAUGAACGCUGGCGGCGUGCCUAAUACAUGCAAGUCGAGCGAACAGACGCGGAGCUUGCUCCUCUCACGUUAGCGGCGGACGGGUGAGUAACACGUGGAUAACCUACCUAUAAGACUGGGAUAACUUCGGGACACCGGAGCUAAUACCGGAUAAUAUAUUGAACCGCAUGGUUCAAUAGUGAAAGACGGUUUUGCUGUCACUUAUAGCUGGAUACGCGCCGGAUUGGCUAGUUGGUAGGGUAACGGCUUACCAAGGCAACGAUGCGUAGCCGACCGGAGAGGGGGAUCGGCGACACUGGAACUGGGACACGGUCAUGACGCCUAAGGUAGGCAGCAGUAGGGAAUCGGCCGCAAUGGGCGAAAGCCUGACGGAGCGACGCCGCGUGAGUGAUGACAGUCUUCGGAGCGGAAAACUCGGUUAUUAGUGAAGAACAAAUGUGUAAGUAACUAUGCACGGCUUGACGGUACCUAAUCAGAAAGCCACGGCUAACUACGUG
Molecule: ribosomal RNA, 497 nt
Filed under: uncultured bacterium
Lineage: Bacteria
Description: partial 16S ribosomal RNA
Rfam family: Bacterial small subunit ribosomal RNA
Source: RNAcentral